RNAcentral lists this ribosomal RNA (301 nucleotides) under uncultured bacterium. RNAcentral describes it as "partial 16S ribosomal RNA". It matches the Rfam family "Bacterial small subunit ribosomal RNA", at positions 509 to 807 of the family's 1533-position model. The record is from RNAcentral.
CAGUAGCCGCGGUAAUACAGAGGGUGCAAGCGUUAAUCAGAUUUACUGGGCGUAAAGGGCGCGUAGGUGGUUAUGUAAGUGAGAUGUGAAAUCCCCGGGCUCAACCUGGGAACUGCAUCUUAUACCGCGUAGCUGGAGUGCAGUAGAGGGUAGUGGAAUUUCCGGUGUAGCGGUGAAAUGCGUAGAUAUCGGAAGGAACACCAGUGGCGAAGGCGGCUACCUGGACUGACACUGACACUGAGGCGCGAAAGCGUGGGGAGCAAACAGGAUUAGAUACCCCCGUAGUCCCUGUCUCUUAUAC